RNAcentral lists this ribosomal RNA (253 nucleotides) under uncultured bacterium. RNAcentral's name for it is "partial 16S ribosomal RNA". It matches the Rfam family "Bacterial small subunit ribosomal RNA", at positions 524 to 776 of the family's 1533-position model. The record is from RNAcentral.
UACGUAGGGUGCGAGCGUUAAUCGGAAUUACUGGGCGUAAAGCGUGCGCAGGCGGUUUUCCAAGACAGAUGUGAAAUCCCCGGGCUCAACCUGGGAAUGGCAUUUGUGACUGGAAGGCUAGAGUGUGUCAGAGGGGGGUAGAAUUCCACGUGUAGCAGUGAAAUGCGUAGAGAUGCGGAGGAACACCGAUGGCGAAGGCAGCCCCCUGGGCUGACACUGACGCUCAGGCACGAAAGCGUGGGGAGCAAACAGG